AGGAUUCCCCUAGUAGCGGCGAGCGAACCGGGAAGAGCCCAGCUUGAAAAUCGCGUCGCCCUCGGGCGGCGCGAGUUGUAAUCUGGAGAAGCGUCCUCCGCGGCGGACCGGUCCCAAGUUCCCUGGAAAGGGACGUCGGAGAGGGUGAGAACCCCGUCGGGACCGGACCCUGCCGCCCCACGAGGCGCUGUCGACGAGUCGGGCUGUUUGGGAAUGCAGCCCUAAGUGGGAGGUAAAUUCCUUCCAAGGCUAAAUACGGGCGGGAGACCGAUAGCGAACAAGUACCGCGAGGGAAAGAUGAAAAGGACUUUGAAAAGAGAGUUAAAGAGUGCUUGAAAUUGCUGGGAGGGAAGCGAAUGGAGGCCUCGGGCGCGCCCCGGUCGGAUGCGGAACGGCGUCAAGCUGGUCCGCCGCUCGACGCGGGGCGCCGGUCAGCGUGGGCUGUCGCGGCGGGACAAAAGUCGGCCUUCAGCGGCCGGCCGGAAUGCCGUCGGGGCGGCCGAGGGACUCGAAGCGCGCGCCCUCGUGGCGGGCCCCCUUCGCGGGGGGCACCUGCGCGCUCGGGACGCUGGCGGAGCGGGCUUUUCAUCCGACCCGUCUUGAAACACGGACCAAGGAGUCUAACAUGCAUGCGAGCCGGUGGGCGGCAAACCCACGUUGGAGGCGCAAAGAAAUUGACAGGUGUGAUCCCAGGUGUAAACCGGGGUGCAACAUCGACCGACCGUGAUCUUCUGUGAAAGGUUCGAGUGAGAGCAUGCCUGAUGGGACCCGAAAGAUGGUGAACUAUGCCUGAGCAGGGCGAAGUCAGAGGAAACUCUGGUGGAGGCUCGUAGCGAUACUGACGUGCAAAUCGUUCGUCAGACUUGGGUAUAGGGGCGAAAGACUAAUCGAACCAUCUAGUAGCUGGUUCCCUCCGAAGUUUCCCUCAGGAUAGCUGGAGCACGCGAGAAGUUUUAUCGGGUAAAGCGAAUGAUUAGAGGCAUCGGGGGUGAAACACCCUCGACCUAUUCUCAAACUUUAAAUAGGUAAGACGCCGGGGUUGCUUGAGUGAACCCCCGG
This 1059-nucleotide ribosomal RNA is filed under the name Riella purpureospora. RNAcentral describes it as "partial 26S large subunit ribosomal RNA". It matches the Rfam family "Eukaryotic large subunit ribosomal RNA", at positions 71 to 1105 of the family's 3401-position model. The record is from RNAcentral. Lineage: Eukaryota; Viridiplantae; Streptophyta; Marchantiopsida; Sphaerocarpales; Riellaceae.